GUGCCAGCCGCCGCGGUAAGACGUAGGGGGCGAGCGUUGUCCGGAAUUACUGGGCGUAAAGCGCAUGUAGGCGGUUCGUCAAGUCGUGUGUUAAAGCCCCUGGCUCAACUGGGGGAGUUCAUGCGAGACUGACAGACUUGAGGCCAGUAGAGGCACGUGGAACUCCCGGUGUAGCGGUGGAAUGCGUAGAGAUCGGGAAGAACACCCGUGGCGAAGGCGACGUGCUGGGCUGUAACUGACGCUGAGGAACGAAAGCCAGGGUAGCGAAUGGGAUUAGAUACCCCAGUAGUCC
RNAcentral lists this ribosomal RNA (292 nucleotides) under uncultured bacterium. Its description in RNAcentral is "partial 16S ribosomal RNA". It matches the Rfam family "Bacterial small subunit ribosomal RNA", at positions 505 to 796 of the family's 1533-position model. The record is from RNAcentral.